This 153-nucleotide non-coding RNA is filed under the name Bifidobacterium dentium. RNAcentral describes it as "FMN sequence". It matches the Rfam family "FMN riboswitch aptamer (RFN element)". From Rfam's summary of the family: The RFN element is a highly conserved domain that is found frequently in the 5'-untranslated regions of prokaryotic mRNAs that encode for flavin mononucleotide (FMN) biosynthesis and transport proteins. This element is a metabolite-dependent riboswitch that directly binds FMN in the absence of proteins. In Bacillus subtilis, the riboswitch most likely controls gene expression by causing premature transcription termination within the 5' untranslated region of the ribDEAHT operon and precluding access to the ribosome-binding site of ypaA mRNA. The record is from RNAcentral. RNAcentral also lists the same sequence under 1 other name. Lineage: Bacteria; Bacillati; Actinomycetota; Actinomycetes; Bifidobacteriales; Bifidobacteriaceae.
CACAAGUUUCAGGGAAGGUGAAAACCCUUACUGGCGGUAACGGUGAAACCGAUGACCAUAACGGCCCACCACCGAAGCCCGCGACCCGCGAAUGCGGCUGAUCCGGUGAGAAUCCGGGGCCAACGGUCAAAGUCCGGAUGGAAGAAACGGAGC